Molecule: ribosomal RNA, 383 nt
Filed under: Escherichia coli
Lineage: Bacteria; Pseudomonadati; Pseudomonadota; Gammaproteobacteria; Enterobacterales; Enterobacteriaceae
Description: partial 23S ribosomal RNA
Rfam family: Bacterial large subunit ribosomal RNA
Source: RNAcentral
UCCGGUGGUUCUGAAUGGAAGGGCCAUCGCUCAACGGAUAAAAGGUACUCCGGGGAUAACAGGCUGAUACCGCCCAAGAGUUCAUAUCGACGGCGGUGUUUGGCACCUCGAUGUCGGCUCAUCACAUCCUGGGGCUGAAGUAGGUCCCAAGGGUAUGGCUGUUCGCCAUUUAAAGUGGUACGCGAGCUGGGUUUAGAACGUCGUGAGACAGUUCGGUCCCUAUCUGCCGUGGGCGCUGGAGAACUGAGGGGGGCUGCUCCUAGUACGAGAGGACCGGAGUGGACGCAUCACUGGUGUUCGGGUUGUCAUGCCAAUGGCACUGCCCGGUAGCUAAAUGCGGAAGAGAUAAGUGCUGAAAGCAUCUAAGCACGAAACUUGCCCCG